GACGAACGCUGGCGGCGUGCCUAAUACAUGCAAGUUGAGCGCUGAAGGUUGGUACUUGUACCCACUGGAUGAGCAGCGAACGGGUGAGUAACGCGUGGGGAAUCUGCCUUUGAGCGGGGGACAACAUUUGGAAACGAAUGCCAAUACCGCAUAAAAACUUUAAACACAAGUUUUAAGUUUGAAAGAUGCAAUUGCAUCACUCAAAGAUGAUCCCGCGUUGUAUUAGCUAGUUGGUGAGGUAAAGGCUCACCAAGGCGAUGAUACAUAGCCGACCUGAGAGGGUGAUCGGCCACAUUGGGACUGAGACACGGCCCAAACUCCUACGGGAGGCAGCAGUAGGGAAUCUUCGGCAAUGGACGAAAGUCUGACCGAGCAACGCCGCGUGAGUGAAGAAGGUUUUCGGAUCGUAAAACUCUGUUGGUAGAGAAGAACGUUGGUGAGAGUGGAAAGCUCAUCAAGUGACGGUAACUACACAGAAAGGGACGGCUAACUACGUG
Molecule: ribosomal RNA, 497 nt
Filed under: uncultured bacterium
Lineage: Bacteria
Description: partial 16S ribosomal RNA
Rfam family: Bacterial small subunit ribosomal RNA
Source: RNAcentral